GGUCCUAUGGUGUAGUUGGUUAUCACGCCUGCCUGUCACGCAGGAGAUCACCGGUUCAAGUCCGGUUAGGACCG
The sequence is a transfer RNA, 74 nucleotides long. It matches the Rfam family "tRNA". From Rfam's summary of the family: Transfer RNA (tRNA) molecules are approximately 80 nucleotides in length. The record is from Rfam.